UACGUAGGGCGCAAGCAUUAUCCGGAAUUAUUGGGCGUAAAGAGCUCGUAGGCGGUUUGUCGCGUCUGCCGUGAAAGUCCGGGGCUCAACUCCGGAUCUGCGGUGGGUACGGGCAGACUAGAGUGAUGUAGGGGAGACUGGAAUUCCUGGUGUAGCGGUGAAAUGCGCAGAUAUCAGGAGGAACACCGAUGGCGAAGGCAGGUCUCUGGGCCUUACCUGACGCUGAGGCGCGAAAGCUAGGGGAGCGAACAGG
Molecule: ribosomal RNA, 253 nt
Filed under: uncultured bacterium
Lineage: Bacteria
Description: partial 16S ribosomal RNA
Rfam family: Bacterial small subunit ribosomal RNA
Source: RNAcentral